RNAcentral lists this ribosomal RNA (436 nucleotides) under uncultured bacterium. RNAcentral's name for it is "bacterial SSU rRNA". It matches the Rfam family "Bacterial small subunit ribosomal RNA", at positions 960 to 1392 of the family's 1533-position model. The record is from RNAcentral.
CGCGAAGAACCUUACCAGGCCUUGACAUGGCUAGUAUGGGGCUAAGAGAUUAGCUCCUUCAGUUCGGCUGGCUAGCACACAGGUGCUGCAUGGCUGUCGUCAGCUCGUGUCGUGAGAUGUUGGGUUAAGUCCCGCAACGAGCGCAACCCUUAUCGAUAGUUGCUACCAGGUUAUGCUGGGCACUCUAUUGAAACUGCCGGUGACAAGCCGGAGGAAGGCGGGGAUGACGUCAAGUCCUCAUGGCCCUUACGGCCUGGGCUACACACGUACUACAAUGGUGGUGACAGUGGGAUGCGAAGGCGCAAGCUGGAGCGAACCCCCAAAAGCCACCUCAGUUCAGAUUGCACUCUGCAACUCGAGUGCAUGAAGUUGGAAUCGCUAGUAAUCGUAGAUCAGCACGCUACGGUGAAUACGUUCCCGGGCCUUGUACACACCG